Molecule: ribosomal RNA, 240 nt
Filed under: uncultured bacterium
Lineage: Bacteria
Description: partial 16S ribosomal RNA
Rfam family: Bacterial small subunit ribosomal RNA
Source: RNAcentral
AGUGGCGAACGGGUGAGUAAUGAAUCGCUAACGUGCCCCGGACUUUGGGAUAGCUACCCGAAAGGGUAGGUAAUACCGAAUGACAUAACCUUUCCGCAUGGGGAGGUUCUCAAAGGUCCGCCGGUCUGGGAGCGGGCGAUUUCGUAUCAGCUAGUUGGCGGGGUAACGGCCCACCAAGGCAUCGACGCGUAGCCGGACUGAGAGGUUGGCCGGCCACAUUGGGACUGAGACACUGCCCAG